RNAcentral lists this ribosomal RNA (468 nucleotides) under uncultured bacterium. Its description in RNAcentral is "partial 16S ribosomal RNA". It matches the Rfam family "Bacterial small subunit ribosomal RNA", at positions 28 to 507 of the family's 1533-position model. The record is from RNAcentral.
GACGAACGCUGGCGGCGUGCUUAACACAUGCAAGUCGAACGGAAAGGCCCUGCUUUUGUGGGGUGCUCGAGUGGCGAACGGGUGAGUAACACGUGAGUAACCUGCCCUUGACUUUGGGAUAACUUCAGGAAACUGGGGCUAAUACCGGAUAGGAGCUCCUGCUGCAUGGUGGGGGUUGGAAAGUUUCGGCGGUUGGGGAUGUACUCGCGGCUUAUCAGCUUGUUGGUGGGGUAGUGGCUUACCAAGGCUUUGACGGGUAGCCGGCCUGAGAGGGUGACCGGCCACAUUGGGACUGAGAUACGGACCAGACUCGUACGGGGGGCAGCAGUGGGGAAUAUUGCACAAUGGGCGGAAGCCUGAUGCAGCAACGCCGCGUGCGGGAUGACGGCCUUCGGGUUGUAAACCGCUUUAGCCUGUGACGAAGCGUGAGUGACGGUAAUGGGUAAAGAAGCACCGGCUAACUACGUG